AAGCGAUGUACUUUUAAAGAGGAUCUUUUGGCUGUAAAGGUGCGCCUUUGGCUCUCUGCCGAAGCACCCGGCCGUACCGCCCUUUUUGCUGUUGUCUCUUAAUUGUCCCUUUUUUUAAACUUUCCUUCAAAUUUUAUAAAUAGCGAACCUCGUUUCUCACAAUUUGGUGGCCCAUACGGGGAUAAAGCCUCAGCUCUGGGAUCUCCCGGGGAACCCAGAGCACGGGGGUGCCCCCGCCCGCUUUUGGCGGCCUCGCUUUGUGCUUCCCGGCGGGGUCAGGGGGGUUUGCAGUCAAACACCCGGAGGGCAAGAGAGGAGACAAAGCAACAAGAAAGGAAAGAAAAAGCUCCCUGAGGUACCGCGGUAAUUAAACACGUAAAAUCGUGUGCACGAAGACUCCGAGAAAGGAGUACAAUUAUUAGUGCUCGGGGAAGAUUUGUGAAGCACUACUUCUUCAUCUCGCUAGUCAUGUCACAGGACCCAGUCAGAAGAUUCCAGUCUGUAGCUGUACAAAAUUCCAGGUAUUGGUACAAAUAAUAGACAAAGUUAACAAAGUACUACUGUCCCUUGGGGAAGAUUUCCCAUGUUUGUAAAAUCCGUGUGAAUAGAUAGAAAAAUGGUCAGAUUGAGUAUGUAUCAGUUUAAGUCCAGAACAGCAUCACUUUAAACUUUCAAAAACUUCUGGGUUUUGAUGACGGUGCUACCAGUUUUUAGACUACAAAAA
Long non-coding RNA from Corvus hawaiiensis (hawaiian crow), 724 nucleotides. RefSeq lists it as uncharacterized. The record is from RefSeq and is a predicted model, not a curated record. The transcript is spliced from 2 exons. Lineage: Eukaryota; Metazoa; Chordata; Aves; Passeriformes; Corvidae.